AGGUGGACCGGGACGGGUGAACGUAACGCGUGGGUAACCUGCCCUAUACAGGGGGAUAACAGUUAGAAAUGACUGCUAAUACCGCAUAAGCGCACUAAAACCGCAUGGUUCGGUGUGAAAAACUGAGGUGGUAUAGGAUGGACCCGCGUCUGAUUAGCUUGUUGGUGAGGUAACGGCUCACCAAGGCAACGAUCAGUAGCCGGACUGAGAGGUUGGCCGGCCACAUUGGGACUGAGAUACGGCCCAGACUCCUACGGAAGGCAGCAG
This 267-nucleotide ribosomal RNA is filed under the name uncultured bacterium. RNAcentral describes it as "partial 16S ribosomal RNA". It matches the Rfam family "Bacterial small subunit ribosomal RNA", at positions 90 to 354 of the family's 1533-position model. The record is from RNAcentral.